UUAAGCUACAAAGGGCAUACGGUGGAUGCCUAGGCAUUGAGAGUCGAUGAAGGACGCGGUAAGCUGCGAAAAGGUAUGGGGAGCCGCAAGCAGGCAAUGAUCCAUACAUCUCCGAAUGGGGCAACCCGGUACGAGUCAUGUCGUACCAUCCUACGGGAGGAUAACCCGGUGAACUGAAACAUCUAAGUAGCCGGAGGAAGAGUAAUCAAACGAGAUUCCCAUAGUAGCGGCGAGCGAACAGGGAAGAGCCCAAACCCGUUGUCUUCGGACGACGGGGGUUGAGGACCAGCAUAAAUCAAAGAAGUGUUAGAAGAAGGGCAUGGGAAGGCCUGGCGCAGAGGGUGAGACCCCCGUAUUUAAAAACAUUUUGAGAGGGCUGGUAUCCAGAGUACCACGAGACACGUGAAACCUUGUGGGAAGCAGGGUGGACCACCAUCCAAGGCAAAAUACUACUCAAUGACCGAUAGCGCAUAGUACCGUGAGGGAAAGGUGAAAAGUACCCCUGGAGGGGAGUGAAAUAGAACCUGAAACCGUAUGUCUACAAGCAGUCGAAGCACUUUAUAUGUGCGACGGCGUGCCUAUUGAAGAAUGAACCGGCGAGUUAUCCGUUGUGGCGAGGUUAAGUGGAAGACACGGAGCCGAAGCGAAAGCGAGUCUUAAUAGGGCGGCAAGUCACAGCGGGUAGACCCGAAACCACAGUGAUCUAUGCAUGGCCAGGUUGAAGCUCAGGUAAAAAUGAGUGGAGGACCGAACCCGUGAGUGUUGAAAAACUUUGGGAUGAGCUGUGCAUAGGGGUGAAAUGCCAAUCGAACGUGGAGAUAGCUGGUUCUCCCCGAAAUAGCUUUAGGGCUAGCCUCAGGGAAUGCACAUAGACGGUAGAGCUCUGAUCGGGCUAGGGGGCGUAAAGCCUACCGACCCCAGUCAAACUGCGAAUGGCUAUGUGAGAAGAACCUGGGAGUCAGACUGCGAGUGAUAAGACCCGUAGUCAAGAGGGAAACAGCCCAGACCGCCGACUAAGGUCCCGAAUGCUGUACUAAGUGGAAAAGGAUGUAGGACUUCAGAAACAACCAGGAUGUUGGCUCAGAAGCAGCCACCAUUUAAAGAGUGCGUAAUAGCUCACUGGUCGAGAGGCCCUGCGCCGAAAAUAUCCGGGGCUCAAGUACAGAACCGAAGUCGCGGCAUGCGCAAGCAUGGGUAGGGGAGCGUUGAAACAGCGGAGAAGGCGUACCGUAAGGAGCGCUGGAGCGGUUUCAAGAGAGAAUGCCGGUAUGAGUAGCGAAAAGGACGGUGAGAAUCCGUCCCACCGAAAGCCUAAGGUUUCCUGAGCAACGCUCGUCGACUCAGGGUAAGUCGGGACCUAAGCCGAGGCAGCAAGCAUAGGCGAUGGACAACAGGCUAAUAUUCCUGUACCCGCAAGUUUUGUUUGAGCAAUGGAGUGACGCAGGAGAAAGUGGGAGCUGGCUGCUGGAUUAGCCAGUCGAAGGCUGCAGGCUGCGGAGGAGGCAAAUCCCUUCCGUAACGGCUCAGAGCUGAUAGAUAGAUGACCUUCGGGGAGUCAAAUUUCCAUGAAUCACACUGCCGAGAAAAGCUUCUAGUGAGAAACUUGUGGCCCGUACCAAAACCGACACAGGUAGGCGGGGAGAGUAUCCUAAGGUGCGCGGGAAAACCCUCGUUAAGGAACUCGGCAAAAUGCAUCCGUAACUUCGGGAUAAGGAUGACCGGAGCUGGUGAACUCCCUGCGGAGGAAGCUGGAGCCGGUGGCAGAAGAGAGGCCCAAGCGACUGUUUACCAUAAACACAGGUGCCUGCUAAAGAGAAAUCUGACGUAUAGGUGCUGACACCUGCCCGGUGCUGGAAGGUUAAGAGGAGGGGUCAGGCGCAAGCUGAAGCUCUGAAUUGAAGCCCCAGUAAACGGCGGCCGUAACUAUAACGGUCCUAAGGUAGCGAAAUUCCUUGUCGGGUAAGUUCCGACCCGCACGAAAGGUGUAACGAUUUGGGCACUGUCUCAACGAGGGACCCGGUGAAAUUGAAAUACCUGUGAAGAUGCAGGUUACCCGCGACUGGACAGAAAGACCCCAUGGAGCUUUACUGCAGCUUGGCAUUGAUCUUUGGCAUGUAAUGUACAGGAUAGGUGGGAGACUUGGAAGCAGGGACGCAAGUCACUGUGGAGUCGUUGUUGGGAUACCACCCUUUGCAUGCUAGGGAUCUAACCCUGGGACUAACAAAACCGGGGACAGUGCCAGGCGGGCAGUUUGACUGGGGCGGUCGCCUCCGAAAGAGUAACGGAGGCGUCCAAAGGUUCCCUCAGCGCGGACAGAAAUCGCGCGAAGAGUAUAAAGGCAGAAGGGAGCUUGACUGCGAGACUGACGGGUCGAGCAGGUACGAAAGUAGGGCUUAGUGAUCCGGUGGAAUGAAAGUGGAAUUGCCAUCGCUCAACGGAUAAAAGCUACCCUGGGGAUAACAGGCUAAUCUCUCCCAAGAGUCCAUAUCGACGGGGAGGUUUGGCACCUCGAUGUCGGCUCAUCACAUCCUGGGGCUGAAGCAGGUCCCAAGGGUUGGGCUGUUCGCCCAUUAAAGUGGUACGUGAGCUGGGUUCAGAACGUCGUGAGACAGUUCGGUCCAUAUCCAUCGCGGGCGUAAGAGAUUUGAAGGGAGCUGCUCCUAGUACGAGAGGACCGGAGUGGACGGACCAACGGUGUACCAGUUAUUGCGCCAGCAGUACAGCUGGGUAGCUGCGUCCGGAAGGGAUAAACGCUGAAAGCAUCUAAGCGUGAAGCCUGCCUUGAGAUGAGAUCUCUCACAGCGUAAGCUGGUAAGACUCCUUGAAGACGACAAGGUUGAUAGGCUGGAAGUGGAAGAGUGGCAACAUUCGAAGCGGACCAGUACUAAUAAGUCGAGGGCUUAAUUAC
This 2908-nucleotide ribosomal RNA is filed under the name human gut metagenome. Its description in RNAcentral is "bacterial LSU rRNA". It matches the Rfam family "Bacterial large subunit ribosomal RNA". The record is from RNAcentral.